AAAGAAUUAGUUUWAUUAAAACAUUAAAUUGUCAAUUUAAAAAUAUUUUUCUUUAAAAAAUAUUCUUUU
RNAcentral lists this transfer RNA (69 nucleotides) under Lasius fuliginosus. RNAcentral's name for it is "tRNA-Asp". The record is from RNAcentral. Lineage: Eukaryota; Metazoa; Arthropoda; Insecta; Hymenoptera; Formicidae.